CCCUUAGAUGUUCUGGGCUGCACGCGCGCUACACUGAAGGGAUCAACGCGUCUUCCCUUUCCGAGAGGAACGGGUAACCUCUUGAAUCCCCUUCGUGGUAGGGAUCGGGGCUUGCAAUUAUUCCCCGUGAACCAGGAAUUCCUAGUAGACGCGAGUCAUAAGCUCGCAUCGAUUAAGUCCCUGCCCUUUGUACACACCGCCCGUCGCUACUACCGAUUGAACGUUUUAGUGAGGUAUUUGGACCGAUGCCUGGCAGUCUAACCGCUGCUUUGCGUUGGAAAGAUUCCCAAACUUGAGCGUUUAGAGGAAGUAAAAGUCGUAACA
RNAcentral lists this ribosomal RNA (324 nucleotides) under uncultured eukaryote. Its description in RNAcentral is "partial 18S ribosomal RNA". It matches the Rfam family "Eukaryotic small subunit ribosomal RNA", at positions 1470 to 1796 of the family's 1831-position model. The record is from RNAcentral.